UAGGGAAUCUUCGGCAAUGGACGAAAGUCUGACCGAGCAACGCCGCGUGAGUGAAGAAGGUUUUCGGAUCGUAAAACUCUGUUGUUAGAGAAGAACAAGGACGUUAGUAACUGAACGUCCCCUGACGGUAUCUAACCAGAAAGCCACGGCUAACUACGUGCCAGCAGCCGCUGUAAUACGUAGGUGGCAAGCGUUGUCCGGAUUUAUUUGGCGUAAAGCGAGCGCAGGCGGUUUCUUAAGUCUGAUGUGAAAGCCCCCGGCUCAACCGGGGAGGGUCAUUGGAAACUGGGAGACUUGAGUGCAGAAGAGGAGAGUGGAAUUCCAUGUGUAGCGGUGAAAUGCGUAGAUAUAUGGAGGAACACCAGUGGCGAAGGCGGCUCUCUGGUCUGUAACUGACGCUGAGGCUCGAAAGCGUGGGGAGCAAACAGG
Molecule: ribosomal RNA, 429 nt
Filed under: Gemmatimonadota bacterium
Lineage: Bacteria; Pseudomonadati; Gemmatimonadota
Description: Gemmatimonadetes bacterium partial 16S ribosomal RNA
Rfam family: Bacterial small subunit ribosomal RNA
Source: RNAcentral